GACAGAGGCCUCAAGCGUUAGGCGGAAUCACUGGGCUUAAAGCGUGUGUAGGCGGAUCGUUAAGUGCCUUGUGAAAUCCCACGGCUUAACUGUGGAACGGCUGGGCAUACUGGCGGUCUUGAGCCAUCUAGGGGCGACUGGAACAAACGGUGGAGCGGUGAAAUGCGUAGAUAUCGCUUGGAACGCCAAAGGUGAAAACAGGUUGCUGGGAAUGUGCCGACGCUGAGACACGAAAGCCAGGGGAGCAAACGGG
RNAcentral lists this ribosomal RNA (253 nucleotides) under uncultured bacterium. Its description in RNAcentral is "partial 16S ribosomal RNA". It matches the Rfam family "Bacterial small subunit ribosomal RNA", at positions 524 to 776 of the family's 1533-position model. The record is from RNAcentral.